This 4223-nucleotide long non-coding RNA is filed under the name Mus musculus (house mouse). Its description in RNAcentral is "long non-coding RNA chr11:79463186-79467409". The record is from RNAcentral. Lineage: Eukaryota; Metazoa; Chordata; Mammalia; Rodentia; Muridae.
AUGUAGCCGGUGCUGUGACUUGUUUGUGCUCAUCUCUGUUCUGUAGGCAACUUGCCACUCCCUACUGAAUAAAGCUACAGUAAAAGAAAGAAAGGAAAACAAAAAAUCAGUAAGUUUGGAGAACUUUUUAUUAGCUGUUUCUUUCGAAGCAAACCCCAAAUCUUUGCUAUUUGUUAAGAACAUCUUCACUUCAGCUAUUUGACCUUCACUGUGAAAUCAUUCUACUAAUUCUGGCACAAAAUAGCUCUCAUUUCGAUUAACCCUGGAAUUAAGUUACAUUGAAACAUUCUCUGUGUUCCUUUGGUUUGAUUUACCCCAAAGGUAUUUUUUUGUGCAUUGAUUUAUUACAUUGAAUAUCCUUGAUCUAAUUUUAUUGUUAUUUUUAAAAUUAUAAAUGAAUGCGAAAGAAACUUAAUUUCAAGGCCUUAGGGGAUGCUGACUGUCUUCAUUCUUGCUUCUCGUUUGCGGGUCAUGUGAGUGGUUUCUUUUUCUAGAAACAAAAGCAUUUCUUGAUAAAUACAUUGUGGGUAGAAAUGUGACCUUCUCCUGUCCCAACAGACAUUAAAUUCAGGACGCACAUGCUAGAGCUACCAAAACCAAGGAUCAUUUCCUAACUCUAAUCUCAAAGUUACUAAGUUUUAAUGUUUACUCCUUAUAUUUUUACCUUGAUAGUAUCAGCCACCCCUGAUUUAGACAUUUGUGCUUAGAUCAUAGAAAUUUUAAUGCUGAUGUUCCUUUUACCUUAGAGGAAAUGCACAUUACAUCUCUGCAGUGAGGAGGAGGCUCAGUGAGGCCAUGCUCACACAGGAGCCCACUGUGCAAACGUGACCUGAGUAUAUUGCCUGCUUCUGACUUGGCCGUCUUGUGAAAGGAAGAAAGUUAUGAUUGCCAUAAUUAUUUUCUUCCUACGAAUAUCAUUUGUUCACAGUAUAACUUGCAUUCAUUUUUAAAAUAACAUCAUCUGUGGAUGUGACUUACCAUUAUCCAGUUUAGUCCUGUCUUUGUUCACUUAAUCCAAUUGAUUAUAGAGAAUGAUGUAAUUAAAGAAAACCCCCAAAAAACAAAACAAAAAAAACCCAAAACAACCUUUCACAAGUUGUAGGGAGUUUUAUUAAAAAGGAAUAAUUUAAAGUCAUAUUUGUCUGGUUUCAUCUUUCAUUUUCUACUUUUACAUAUAAUAAAGCUUUACAUUUAUAAUUGUAUUCAAAAUUCAGAACUAAAUUAAACUUCAGAGACUCAUACUUUUAUUAUGUCCAUUCAGAAUUUUCUUUUUGAGUGUACUAUGUGAAAUUGAUCAUCUCUGAACAAAUGGAUUGGAUUGGAUGGCUCUCCUGCUUAAAACAUUUUCCUCUAAUGCUUCAGCCUUCUAAUUCUCAGCAUUGUGGGUUUAACAUUAUACAUCAUCACUGUGGAAAUUAAUUUGCUGUUUCUAACAUUCUUGUUUACUGUUACACUAAUGUCAUUGUGUAGCAUAACAUAAUUAAAGUCAGGCUUUCUGUGUUUCUCUAGAGCAUGUAUUAUAGCUUUCCUAACAUUAUUAUGGUUUUAUAUAAAAAUUCCUUGGAAUUUUUUAGUAGAUAUUUCAUAUAUGUAUGAAAUUUUGGAAUGUAUUUCUCAGCCCAUGUGGCAGUCCUUAGGAAACUAAGGGGGUCUAAUUGGCAGUACUUCAGAACAGAUUCUAUAGUAUAAAGACAUGCUAAUCAUUAUAAAUUUAGAAUGUCAUGUUUUGAAAGUUGUUUAACGGAAUCUAAUUCUUUCUCCUUUGAGAGCAAGCUGACCUCCUUUGUAAUAAGUGAAAGAAAGUUUCGAGUUUGGGUGAUUAGCUAUGUUGACAGCUGAUUCAGUUGAUUGUACUCAACAUAGUGUGUACUUAGAUUACUGGAGCGGCUGCCUGCCUAACUCAAGACUUUCAGGAUUUCACCAUGUAUAGCUAGUGAUCCUCUGCUGAUAUGUAAUUUAUUAUAUGAUUUUUGUAGUUCAACUUUACCUAGGGAAGAGUGUGUAUGUGUGUAUGUGUGUUAGGGGCAAGGGAUAGCUGAUCAUUGACCUUACAUGUAGAAUAUCAUUUACAUCCAAAUUAGAUUUUUAUACACUUGGAAAUAAAGAACAACAUGCCAGGCAUGGUGGCACAUGCCUUUAAUUCCAGCACUCAGAAGGCAGAGGCAGGCGGAUCUCUUGAGUUGGAGACAACCUAGUCUACAAAGAAAGUUUCAGGAUAGCCAGGCCACACAGAGAAAUCCUGUCGCAAAAUGCCAAAACAAAACAAAACAAACAAAAAACUUAAAUAUGUGGUGUUGGAUAAAAUUCCAAAUUGAUGUUAAAUAGAAGUGAAAGAAAGAGUAGUCCUUUUAUAAAUUGACUCAUGAAACUUUUUAUACAGUAUCUCUUUAUUAAUUUUAAUUGUUAGGUUUUAGUUCCAAAAAUAUAGAUAUCACUGUCAAGGAGAUACAUAUUUACAAUAUGUGAAACUUUUUCUUUUUCUUUUUUUUUAAGAUUUACUUAUUUUUUUAUAUAUUUUAUGCAUAUGAAUACAUCACCACUGUUUUCUUCAGGCACACCAGAAGAGGGCAUCAGACCCCAUUACGGAUGGUUGUGAGCCACCAUGUGGUUGCUGGGAAUUGAACUCAGGACCUCUGGAAGAGCAGUCAGUGCUCUUAACCGCUGAGCCAUCUCUCCAGCCCUGUGAAACUUUUUCUGAAACAUGAAGUUUUGAUAAUAUUUUUUAGAGAUCUGGAAAGGGUUAAAAGUUAUAGUACUUUCAUAUUAAUUUUAUAAUACUCUUCUUAGAAGAUAAUUCAGACUUUCUUAUGAUCACAAGCUGAGUAUUUUCAAAUAUAAACGAGGAGACAAUGUAAGUUGUGCUUUUAUAAGAUCUUUAUUUCUAGAGACAACGAGCAAGUAGCAAGUUUUUGUAUUUUUAAAACAGGUCUUAAGUGCUAUAAGCACCCAACAGACCUUCAUAGCAGGCUGGCCUGAACUCAAGGCAGUGCUCUUACCUUCGUCUCUCCUUGCAGGGAUUACAUGUGAGAACUACCACACCCAACCUCUGAAACAACUACUUUCAAACAUACAUUAUAAAGGCUGUGUGCAGCCAUUGCUAAUACUUAUAAAGACACUUUCAUAGAAGUUUAAUAAACCAACUCCUUCCUUAAGGGCAAACUCUGAUGUUGGUUGAGCCUAUUAAAACUAUUUCAUGAUUUUGGUGGGUUAAAUUGAUAUUAUUAUUUUUAAAACAACCUGCCAAAAAGGGUUGGAGAGAUGGCUCAACGAUUAGGAACACUGACUGCUCUUCCAGAGGUCCUGAGUUCAAUACCCAGCAACCACAUGGUGGCUCACAGCCAUCUGUAAUGGGAUCUGAUGCCGUCUUCUGGGGUGUCUGAAGACAGCUACAGUGGACUCAUAAAACAAACAACAACAACAACCCCACCCUGCUUAAGAUAAAAGCACUGAUGGACUAGGAGCAUGACGUCCCUAAAGGGAGUGUUAGUCUUCUUCCUUCUUCAUGAUUUGCUCCCAAAACACUUCAUGGUCUUGUUAGCUUACUGGUAUUUUUGUCUCAGUUUGGAAAUUCUAAAUUUGGAAAUUCUAAAAGAACUCCAUGUCAACGUUGGUCUUUGCACAUGUUGAAAUUAUAUGAUGAAUCUGAUAUUUGCUUUUUUUUUUUUAAUCAGAUCUGAGAUUCUAGUACCUCAAAAGUUUAAAAACUGUCCUAGAAAAGUAAACUUGAAUUUUCUUAGUUUUAUAUGCAAAACUCUAUUUCAGCUAAAAAAACACAGCUAUAUUUAGCCAACUCCCCAAUUUCUCAGGAUUUCCUAAGGUUCUCCCUGGGUGCUGUAAGCACACAAAAGAACUGUAACCCAGAGAAGCUCCCCGAGCCACGGCACCGUAUACAAAGGGAACUGGAGCUCACAAACCUCUCUGAGCUCGUUCCUACGACUACCCCCCAAGGAAUCAUUUUCUGAAAUCUUUUUCUAAUUUUUUUUUUAUCAGAAACAAUAGAAAAUUAUUUUGAGAUUUUUGGGCCUUGGGUAAGGACACAUUUAUGAUACAACCCCUAGGGCUGGAGAGAUGGCACAGUGGUUAAGAAAAACUGGCUUUUCUCCCAGAGGGCCAGGUUCAAUUCCCAGUAACCAUCUGUGAUAGUAGUUCCAGCAGAUCUGACACCCUCUUUUGGCCCCUGAGGGUAUCAGGCUUGUAAGUGGUGUACAGACUUAUAUGCAGGC